This 110-nucleotide ribosomal RNA is filed under the name Sinocyclocheilus anshuiensis. The record is from RNAcentral. Lineage: Eukaryota; Metazoa; Chordata; Actinopteri; Cypriniformes; Cyprinidae.
AGCAACAGCCAUAUCACUCUGCAGCCCAAGACUGGUUACCCACUGAAGCUAAGCAGGGUUGAGCCAGGGUUGAUGGGAGACCUCCUGGGGAAACUAGGUUGCUGUUGUCA